Molecule: ribosomal RNA, 433 nt
Filed under: uncultured bacterium
Lineage: Bacteria
Description: partial 16S ribosomal RNA
Rfam family: Bacterial small subunit ribosomal RNA
Source: RNAcentral
AACGAACGCUGGCGGCAUGCCUAAUACAUGCAAGUCGAACGAGACCUUCGGGUCUAGUGGCGCACGGGUGCGUAACGCGUGGGAACCUGCCCUUAGGUUCGGAAUAACUCCCCGAAAGGGGUGCUAAUACCGGAUAAUGUCUUCGGACCAAAGAUUUAUCGCCUUUGGAUGGGCCCGCGUUGGAUUAGCUAGUUGGUAGGGUAAAAGCCUACCAAGGCGACGAUCCAUAGCUGGUCUGAGAGGAUGAUCAGCCACACUGGGACUGAGACACGGCCCAGACUCCUACGGGAGGCAGCAGUGGGGAAUAUUGGACAAUGGGCGAAAGCCUGAUCCAGCAAUGCCGCGUGAGUGAUGAAGGCCUUAGGGUUGUAAAGCUCUUUUACCCGGGAUGAUAAUGACGGUACCGGGAGAAUAAGCUCCGGCUAACUCCGUG